This 189-nucleotide unclassified non-coding RNA is filed under the name uncultured fungus. Its description in RNAcentral is "sequence contains ITS1, 5.8S rRNA gene". The record is from RNAcentral. Lineage: Eukaryota; Fungi.
CUGAGUUAGGGUCUCUCAAGGCCCGACCUCCUACCCUGUGUCUACCUUACCACGUUGCUUCGGCGGGCCUGUCGACAAGACUUGUCGGCUACCGGCAGGCUUAAACCCCUGCUGGAAAGUGCCCGCCGAUGGCCAACCUACAAAACUCUUGAAGAAACAUGUCGUCUGAGUAUCAAAUUAAAUAAAGCA